UAUUGGACAAUGGGGGCAACCCUGAUCCAGCCAUGCCGCGUGUGUGAAGAAGGCCUUUUGGUUGUAAAGCACUUUAAGCAGUGAAGAAGACUCUAUUGUUAAUAUCCAUAGACGAUGACAUUAGCUGCAGAAUAAGCACCGGCUAACUCUGUGCCAGCAGCCGCGGUAAUACAGAGGGUGCAAGCGUUAAUCGGAAUUACUGGGCGUAAAGCGAGCGUAGGUGGCUUAAUAAGUCAGAUGUGAAAUCCCCGGGCUUAACCUGGGAACUGCAUCUGAUACUGUUGGGCUAGAGUAAGUGAGAAGGAGGUAGAAGUUCAGGUGUAGCGGUGAAGUGCGUAGAGAACUGAAGGAAUACCGAUGGCGAAGGCAGCCUCCUGGCAUCAUACUGACACUGAGGUUCGAAAGCGUGGGUAGCAAACAG
Molecule: ribosomal RNA, 421 nt
Filed under: uncultured bacterium
Lineage: Bacteria
Description: bacterial SSU rRNA
Rfam family: Bacterial small subunit ribosomal RNA
Source: RNAcentral